AGCAUAAUUUUCAAACAAAUAUUCGGCAUGUAGUUAAUAUGCAUUUUCACAAUCAAUCAUUAAAUUGACUACCUUCUUGCAUGAUGCAUGCGUGAUGAAUGAGUGUUGAUUUUACUUUUGCAUGCUUGUGUGGGUUUGGUAGCCUUGCCGGCUAUGAUGUGAUUAUUGGACAGGUGAAACAUAGAACUGUUAAUAUAGUACAGGAUUUAAUUAGCGGAUACUUAUUGAUGCAAUGCUUGACAUUCUUUUGCACGCCACUCAUGUUUUCAUGUUAAGUUAUUGAAUGGGAUUGU
RNAcentral lists this long non-coding RNA (293 nucleotides) under Olea europaea (common olive). Its description in RNAcentral is "long non-coding RNA (OEUR_LNC005278)". Lineage: Eukaryota; Viridiplantae; Streptophyta; Magnoliopsida; Lamiales; Oleaceae. The record is from RNAcentral.